UUUGUUUCUUGGAAGAAAUGCUGCAUCAUGUGACCAGUAUACCCUUUUAAAAUCAAAACCUCAAGGGGUUCCUGGCUGCCUGAGUUGUGAUAAUUUACAGUUAAAAGAUCUUUCCACAGUGAUGGGUCAUUUUAAUUGUUACAGGCAAAUGACAGAAAAUACUGAAGACUAAUCAUUUCUUGGGCCAAGUGGAGGCUGAAAGACAUCAAAGUGCAGUGAAAGAAAGAUAAUCACCAGUAUCUGCAUUAUUAAAUAUCAGUGAAAGACUUUUCAUUAAACAAUGUUUUUUUCAUUAUUUUACUGAAAAGCAUUAAA
Molecule: long non-coding RNA, 315 nt
Organism: Prionailurus viverrinus (fishing cat)
Lineage: Eukaryota; Metazoa; Chordata; Mammalia; Carnivora; Felidae
Exons: 2
Source: RefSeq, a predicted model, not a curated record